GAUGAAGAACGCAGCGAAAUGCGAUAAGUAGUGUGAAUUGCAGAAUUCCGUGAAUCAUCGAAUCUUUGAACGCACAUUGCGCCUUCUGGUAUUCCGGAAGGCAUGUCUGUUCGAGAGUCAUUAACAACCGUUUCGAUCCCUUUCUUUCAGAAAUUACAAAGAGGAAAAGGGUUUGGUUAUGGUGGAGGAGGGAAAGGGAGCGUUUAGCCUGUAAAAAAAGAGGCUGUGUUCCGCCUCCCCCCCAAAAUUGUACAGGCGGUCGUGUGCGCCCACGCAUCGAGGUGUUGUAAAAGCUGCCACGGCACUUUUCACCUGUGCAGUGCGAGAUUGGCCAGCCGGUUUAAAAACCCCUCCAAACAAUCAAAGGUUGACCUCGGAUCAGGUAGGGAUACCCGCUGAACUUAAGCAUAUCAAUAGCGGAGGA
Molecule: unclassified non-coding RNA, 424 nt
Filed under: soil metagenome
Description: partial contains 5.8S ribosomal RNA, internal transcribed spacer 2, and large subunit ribosomal RNA
Rfam family: 5.8S ribosomal RNA (bases 1-120)
Source: RNAcentral